GACGAACGCUGGCGGCGUGCUUAACACAUGCAAGUCGAACGGAAAGGCCCUGCUUUUGUGGGGUGCUCGAGUGGCGAACGGGUGAGUAACACGUGAGUAACCUGCCCUUGACUUUGGGAUAACUUCAGGAAACUGGGGCUAAUACCGGAUAGGAGCUCCUGCUGCAUGGUGGGGGUUGGAAAGUUUCGGCGGUUGGGGAUGGACUCGCGGCUUAUCAGCUUGUUGGUGGGGUAGUGGCUUACCAAGGCUUUGACGGGUAGCCGGCCGGAGAGGGUGACCGGACAAAAUGGGGAAGGAAAACAGGCCAGAAGCCCGCGGGAGGGAAGAGGGGGGGAAAAUAGAAAAUGGGGGGAAGGACGAAGGCAGCAAAGCCGAGGGGGGGAGAAGGGACGUGGGUUUUAAAACCGCUUGCGCCGGUGAGAAAGGGGGAGAGGGGAAAGGGGGUAAAGAGAACAGGAAAAAAAAGAGC
RNAcentral lists this ribosomal RNA (469 nucleotides) under uncultured bacterium. RNAcentral's name for it is "partial 16S ribosomal RNA". The stretch from base 13 to 374 matches the Rfam family "Bacterial small subunit ribosomal RNA", at positions 40 to 399 of the family's 1533-position model. The record is from RNAcentral.